CCUACGGGAGGCAGCAGUGGGGAAUAUUGGACAAUGGGCGAAAGCCUGAUCCAGCCAUGCCGCGUGUGUGAAGAAGGCCUUCGGGUUGUAAAGCACUUUCAGUGGGGAAGAAAGCCUUGGGGCUAAUACCCUCGAGGAAGGACAUCACCCACAGAAGAAGCACCGGCUAACUCCGUGCCAGCAGCCGCGGUAAUACGGAGGGUGCGAGCGUUAAUCGGAAUUACUGGGCGUAAAGCGCGCGUAGGCGGUCUGAUAAGCCGGUUGUGAAAGCCCCGGGCUCAACCUGGGAACGGCAUCCGGAACUGUCAGGCUAGAGUGCAGGAGAGGAAGGUAGAAUUCCCGGUGUAGCGGUGAAAUGCGUAGUGAUCGGGAGGAAUACCAGUGGCGAAGGCGGCCUUCUGGACUGACACUGACGCUGAGGUGCGAAAGCGUGGGUAGCAAACAGGAUUAGAUACCCUGGUAGUC
RNAcentral lists this ribosomal RNA (465 nucleotides) under Vreelandella stevensii. RNAcentral describes it as "partial 16S ribosomal RNA". It matches the Rfam family "Bacterial small subunit ribosomal RNA", at positions 338 to 795 of the family's 1533-position model. Lineage: Bacteria; Pseudomonadati; Pseudomonadota; Gammaproteobacteria; Oceanospirillales; Halomonadaceae. The record is from RNAcentral.